Molecule: ribosomal RNA, 539 nt
Filed under: Bifidobacterium breve
Lineage: Bacteria; Bacillati; Actinomycetota; Actinomycetes; Bifidobacteriales; Bifidobacteriaceae
Description: bacterial SSU rRNA
Rfam family: Bacterial small subunit ribosomal RNA
Source: RNAcentral
GGGUGGUAAUGCCGGAUGCUCCAUCACACCGCAUGGUGUGUUGGGAAAGCCUUUGCGGCAUGGGAUGGGGUCGCGUCCUAUCAGCUUGAUGGCGGGGUAACGGCCCACCAUGGCUUCGACGGGUAGCCGGCCUGAGAGGGCGACCGGCCACAUUGGGACUGAGAUACGGCCCAGACUCCUACGGGAGGCAGCAGUGGGGAAUAUUGCACAAUGGGCGCAAGCCUGAUGCAGCGACGCCGCGUGAGGGAUGGAGGCCUUCGGGUUGUAAACCUCUUUUGUUAGGGAGCAAGGCAUUUUGUGUUGAGUGUACCUUUCGAAUAAGCACCGGCUAACUACGUGCCAGCAGCCGCGGUAAUACGUAGGGUGCAAGCGUUAUCCGGAAUUAUUGGGCGUAAAGGGCUCGUAGGCGGUUCGUCGCGUCCGGUGUGAAAGUCCAUCGCUUAACGGUGGAUCCGCGCCGGGUACGGGCGGGCUUGAGUGCGGUAGGGGAGACUGGAAUUCCCGGUGUAACGGUGGAAUGUGUAGAUAUCGGGAAGAAC